RNAcentral lists this ribosomal RNA (468 nucleotides) under uncultured bacterium. Its description in RNAcentral is "partial 16S ribosomal RNA". It matches the Rfam family "Bacterial small subunit ribosomal RNA", at positions 28 to 507 of the family's 1533-position model. The record is from RNAcentral.
GACGAACGCUGGCGGCGUGCUUAACACAUGCAAGUCGAACGGAAAGGCCCUGCUUUUGUGGGGUGCUCGAGUGGCGAACGGGUGAGUAACACGUGAGUAACCUGCCCUUGACUUUGGGAUAACUUCAGGAAACUGGGGCUAAUACCGGAUAGGAGCUCCUGCUGCAUGGUGGGGGUUGGAAAGUUUCGGCGGUUGGGGAUGGACUCGCGGCUUAUCAGCUUGUUGGUGGGGUAGUGGCUUACCAAGGCUUUGACGGGUAGCCGGCCUGAGAGGGUGACCAGCCACAGUGGGACUGAGAUACGGCCCAGACUCCUACGGGAGGCAGCAGGGGGGAAUAUUGCACAAUGGGCGGAAGCCUGAUGCAGCAACGCCGCGUGCGGGAUGACGGCCUUCGGGUUGUAAACCGCUUUCGCCUGUGACGAAGCGUGAGUGACGGUAAUGGGUAAAGAAGCACCGGCUAACUACGUG